This 435-nucleotide ribosomal RNA is filed under the name uncultured Lachnospiraceae bacterium. Its description in RNAcentral is "bacterial SSU rRNA". It matches the Rfam family "Bacterial small subunit ribosomal RNA", at positions 341 to 792 of the family's 1533-position model. Lineage: Bacteria; Bacillati; Bacillota; Clostridia; Lachnospirales; Lachnospiraceae. The record is from RNAcentral.
ACGGAAGGCAGCAGUGGGGAAUAUUGGGCAAUGGGCGCAAGCCUGACCCAGCAAUGCCGCGUGAAGGAUGAAGGUCUUCGGAUUGUAAACUUCUUUGAUUGGGGAAGAAUAAAUGACCUACCCAAAGAACAAGCUCCGGCUAACUACGUGCCAGCAGCCGCGGUAAUACGUAGGGAGCAAGCGUUAUCCGGAUUUACUGGGUGUAAAGGGAGCGUAGACGGCAAAGCAAGUCUGAAGUGAAAUCCCGGGGCUCAACCCCGGAACUGCUUUGGAAACUGUUUAGCUAGAGUGCAGGAGAGGUAAGCGGAAUUCCUAGUGUAGCGGUGAAAUGCGUAGAUAUUAGGAGGAACACCAGUGGCGAAGGCGGCUUACUGGACUGUAACUGACGUUGAGGCUCGAAAGCGUGGGGAGCAAACAGGAUUAGAUACCCUGGUA